CUCGUGACCCGUAGUUUCGGUUGCCCACGUGACUAUCUUUGUUGCGCAAAGUAGCAUCAAUGCGUUAGCAGUGCGAGCUAAUAUAUUUAAACCGCUGGAUCCAUAGUCAUUCCAGGAGAAGCGAAUCUAUCCACAGGAGUCUGCAGUUGCGUGCAACACCUGCUCCACUCUCUUUCUCAGUGGGACUCUGGAACUGCCAGUCAGCUGUGAACAAAGCUGACUUCAUUCAAGCCUUCGCCACACAGUCCACCCUCAGUAUCCUGGCACUAACAGAAACAUGGAUACGUCCAGAGGAUACAGCAACACCUGCUGUUCUCUCCAACAACAACAACAACAACUCCUCUCACAUCCCUCGAUCCACAGGUUUGACCGGUUUCAUUUCACUUGGAAAGACUAAGCACUACAGCAACUCACAGAUUGGGCAACCAGCUGGACCUCAUUUUUACAGGUUCUUGGACUAUUUGAAGACAAGACUGGAUCUGGAGCAGACAAACCCACAGCUCCGUAACAAAUGACAGACUUACAAGGAGAUGCUGGAAACCCCGCGCAAGCCUGGUUCAAAGUCCAACUCACAGGCAGUGUGCGAAAGAAAGCCUUUGUUGUUCAUUUUAUUUUGUCCUUUUAUUACUAAUGUUAUUGUUGUUUACUACUACAGUCCUGAGUGUGGUGUUUUUAAUAACCUGUCUCUCUUUUUCUCUAUUUUUUGUUUAAUCUAUGUACGAUUGAUUUGUUGAGGGCUCACGCAGCAUCAAGAGAGUGCCGGGAGAUUUUGCGGGUUGCGAAGGCAGACUUCCUAAACAUCUUUGUGCAGUUAAUCUCAGGUGCCGAGGUGGACAAUAUUGACAAGACGACGUCACUACUGUGAAGCAAUCGUGGUCUUCUGUCAUUUUCAGUGCCCAGGAGCUGUGGAAGGCUUGACUGUCUCAGAGAUGGUGAACAGGAAGGCAUCUAAUGGCAGGCUAGUGGCUGGCAUCAGCAAACGCAAAACGGCGACCAUGCAGAUCGUUGCAUUUGCCUUGACGCAGGAGGAGGAAGCUUGAUUUCGGGUGUACUAUGAGAGAAUUCGGCCUGGAUACAACAGUGGUACUACUGACAGGCCAGCACGUACUACUCCACCCAGACCCUGGCUCUCUGACGUCCUUCGUGAACAUUGGACUGACCUCAGGGCAGCUGAGAGGAGACGGCGUAAAUCUAAAGAUCCAGCAUAUCGACACUUUUCCCAUGACAUUUAAGCAAGCUCGUGUAACUCCGCUGCUGCAGAAACCUGCACUUAACCCCACACAAAUAGAACACUACAGACCAGUCACGGCAAAAACACUUGAAAGGGCAGUUUUCAAUCAAAUCUCUGCCUAUCUCUCACAGAACAAGCUGCUGGAUGACAAUCAGUCAGGCUUCAAAAGUGGACACUCCACUGAGACUGCCCUGCUGUCGCUGAGACAGGCGAAAGCGGAAUCCAGAUCAUCUGUCCUGAUUCUGCUGGACCUUUCUACAGCCUGCAUCAUACCACGUUGGUGGAAUGACCUUCCCAACUCCAUACGUGAAGCUGACUCCCUUUCUGUCUUCAAACAACGGCUAAGAACACAUCUUAUCCAUGAGCACUUAACCAGUCACAAAAAAAUAAACAUUUUUUGUAGAACUUUAAUCACUUUACGUUACUAUUCUGAUGAUAGUGAAACUUUGUAAUAUGGCACUUUUUGUACCACUGGCUCCUUAAGAUGAUUUGCUUAUGUUUGCCUCUUUUGUAAGUCGCUUUGGAUAAAAGCGUCUGCCAAAUAUUUCAGCAGCCCUUGUCGCUCUCUCCGUUGGGCAUGAGUGGCUGUGUGGAAAAUUGCUUGCAUUAUAUCGUCGUGCCAGCAGUAGGUGAACUCGCCGUCGUCUUCAUACUGGUCAAGUCCACCCAAGAAAAUCAUCAUUUUGAUCAUAGUGUACCAGAGUAAAAUCAGUCUGGUAUGUGGACAGCAUAAAAAAUAUAGGUAUGAAAUUAUAGAUAUAAUAAUACAAUUAACAUAAAAAAUAUAGGUAAGUAUGAAAUUAUAGAUAUAAUAAUAGAAUUAACAUAAAAAAUAUAGAUAAUAAAAUAAAUAGAAAAUAUGUAAUAAAAAAAUAUAGAUAGAAUAAAUAUAAAAAAAAUAGAUAUUAAUAUAAAAAAAAUAUAGAUAUAAUAAUAAAAAAUUAAAAUAAUUAAAACUCCUUAAUUCAAAUCAGUAGACCUUUGAGCCUCUCUAAAGUUUGGGCCCAGAGAUCCCUUUUAGAUCUUUUGGUGUGCUCAUAUUCCGUCACUGUUGUUAAAAAAGGAGUCUCUCCUCCAGAAAAAUGUGGUCUGUAGCUUUUAGGAGGGGGGUUUCUGUCUGCCAUGCAUUUUAGUGUCACAUUGUCCCCUUCCUUAAAAGGACCAUGGGACAUUACCUGGAGACUGACCGCUCUCUCGGUUGGGCUUGACCGCUCUCUCGGUUGGGCAUGAGUGGUUAUGUGUAAUAUUUCUUGCAUUAUGUCAUCGUGCCAGCAGUAGGUGAAGAUAUUUUAGAUACUUUUCCUCAGUUUUUCGGUCACGGACUGGACAGGAUGCCCAUCCUAUGUCUCCAAGGUUAUAAUGGUCAGGAUUGGCCGCCUGUUCAUCCCACCCUUGCAACUACUGUUGCACAUAUAAUUAAGCAAUAUGGUGGUUCCCACUGAACUUUGGGGACUCGUAGGGCAAACUCACUAUGCCUUCUGGUGUGUAGGUCCUCAUGGUACUGGGCUCUCUGACUGCCCUCCACACGCAUGAGAUGACUGCUAAUGGGUCAUGGGAAUAACGCCACAGAUCGUGGGUCUGCAUCAUUUACGGUCGGAACUGGAUGCAGUGGAUGUUUUUGAAUAUCCUCAUUUGCUGAUUUAAUUUGACUGUUGCCAAUGUGGGGUUUCUUAUUGCAGCAGCCCUUGUCGCUCAUCGUGCCAGCACAAAAUAGAACAGCAGUCCUAUGCCAUUAUUUCUAGCAUCUAUCUUGCCCCAGGAUUCAUGAGGUUCCGCUCCCAGACCUCAUCAAAUUAUUGGCUUUCUAUUUUGUCUGCCAUGUCCUGUCUCUUUCUUUUGAGAGAAUCUAAUUUGCCGAAAACAGCACGUCCUCCACAAAGUCAUCGUGCCAGCAGUAGGGGAACUCGCCGUCAUCUCCAUACUGAUCAAGUCCACCUAGGAAAAUCAUCAUUUUGAUCAUAGUGUACCAGAGUAAAAUCAGUCUGGUAUGUGGACAGGAUGAAGACGGACACGUUUUCAUGUUUUCCAUCAGACUGAAAAAUGUGCAUCUCGUCCUGUUUCUUAAAAAUAUCAGUUUGAUCAGGGUGUGUGUGUAAAGCUCCAGUCCAGGUUUGCUGACACAUGUCAUCCUUAAUCUGUGGUCCAAUAUGUUUAGAUCCAUCGUUUGGGCCACCCCGGAAGACACAUUUAAAAUGAAUGCGUUUUUUUGCAUGGCAGGUAAGCGCGCUAAAUAACGCAACCCGAGAUACGCCCAUUUGAUUUUUACAUACAUCCAUGUGUAUUGGGCACUAGCCAAAAUCCGUAAUCUAAAUCAAACAAAAUGAAUAUAAAAAAUAUAGAUAUAAUAAAAAUUAAUAUACAAAAUUAAUAAAAAAUAGAUAAUAAAAUAAAUAUAAAAAAAUAAAAAAAAUAAAAAAAUUAACAUAAAAAAUAUAGGUAAGUAUGAAAUUAUAGAUAUAAUAAUACAGUUAACAUAAAAAAUAUAGGUAAAUAUGAAAUUAUAGAUAUAAUAAUACAAUUAAUAUAAAAAUGUAGAUAAAAUAAAUAGAAAAAAUGUAAUAUAAAACAUAUAGAUAUAAUAAAAAUUAAUAUAAAAAAUUAAUUAAAAAAAUAGAUAAUAAUAAAAUAAAUAUAUAUAAAAAAAAUAGAUAAUAAUAAAAUAAAUAUAAAAAAAAAUAAAACAAAUUAACAUAAAAAAAUAUAGGUAUGAAAUUAUAGGCUUUCCGGGCACAGAUGCUCUCUGAACUCCGGACGCUCCAGCAAAAGAGACCUCGCCUGAAGCUCUAUGAGUUCAGACACCCAGUUAAAUUCUUCCGGGUCGAAAGCCACAUUGGCUCUCCCAAAGAAGGCCGCCGUCUUGUGGUGCCUGACCGCCACCACCCUCUCGCCAUUGUCCAACGCGCUGGCCCCCCGGAACUCCUCCACGGUCAUGUUUACCAUGACGCACCGGCGGUGACCCAAGCUGAUGAUAAGGUACCCCGCUAUCAUUCCCUGAGCGACGCGGAAGUUGUUCGGGCUGGGCGACUCACGCAGUCGCUCCAGGAGAGCGGGCACCCUGUCCCGAGCUCACCGCCAGUAGCGCCUCAAGGUGGCCACGUCAAUGACCCACCUGGAACUGGCAGCCCGUGCGUCGCACCUGUGGACCACCAGCUCCGCUCUCAGAUGGGCCAUCUGCCGCUUGCAUACCCGCCGGAGCUGCCUCACGGCGGCAUCAGUGAAGUAUUCCCGCUUGUCGGUGUUGUCCUCUAUGAAGGAGCAGAAGAGGCGAAGGUCGAGCAGGUAGUGUCUGGCCAUGGUGACCGCGAGGCCCCUCUCCGCUAAUGCCUGUACCCACCCUCGCACCUCGUCCGGCAGCGAAAGGUCCGUGACGAACCACGCUCCCCCUUCCCGGCACACCACUCGAAGAACGCCGUGACCCGCUUUGCUUUCUUGGUGGCAUUGUCACGGCCCUUGGAGGACGGCCUGGUCCCCAGACAGGACAGCUUGAACGCCCGGAUCAGGCGAGCAAUGUCAGAGAGGUGGUCCGGGCCACGCGUCACGCUGGCGGCGUCUUCCCGCAUCAGAGCCCCGGUGCUUACGAUAUAAUACAAUUAACAUAAAAAAUAUAGGUAAUAAAAUAAAUAGAAAAAAUGUAAUAGAAAAAAUAUAGAUAUAAUGAAAAAAAAAUUAAAAUAAUGAAAACUUAAUUCAAAUCAGUAGACCUGGAUGCAGUGGUUGUUUUUGAAUAUCCUCAUUUGCUGAUUUAAUUUGACUGUUGCCAAUGAGGGGUUUCUUAUUGCAGCAGCCCUUGUCGCUCAUUGUGCCAGCACAAAAUAGAACAGCAGUCCUAUGCCAUUAUUUCUAGCAUCUAUCUUGCCCCAGGAUUCAUGAGGUUCCGCUCCCAGACCUCAUCAAAUUAUUGGCUUUCUGUUUUGUCUGCCAUGUCCUGUCUCUCACUUUUGAGAGAAUCUAAUUUGCCGACCUCAUCUCCCCAACGAUAAUCUUUCUGCUCUUGUAUGACUGUUGCUGCGAUGUGUUUGAAGACUCUCACACACAUGGCCAAAACAGCACAUCCUCCACAAAGUCAUCAUGCCAGCAGUAGGGGAACUCGCCAUCAUCUCCAUACUGAUCAAGUCCACCCAGGAAAAUCAUCAUUUUGAUCAUAAUGGGCAGGAGUCCUAUUCCAUUAUUUCUAGGUGUGGUAUUUGGGCGUUACGCAGCGUCCUUUGGACACUGGUUUUUUCAAAGUUAACGCUCCGCUCACAUUCUUGCAUGGGACAUCAUCUAUGUCUGAUUUAACACAUAGGAUGGCAUAGUGCUGCUUGAUUAACAAGAUCCAGCACAACAGGUGGUGCCCUUCCGUCAAUUCCCAGAUCGCAGGUCAUCAUCGUUUACGGUCAGAAUUACGACAUGAGGUUCCGCUACCAGAGCACAGCAGAUUCCUGACUUUCUAUCUUGUCUGCCAUGUCCUGUUUCAUGCAAGCAGGAGGUGACCUCGACCAUCAGUGGGUCCUCACCCAUGGGUUUAGGAUACGCUCAUUCCAAUUACAGGGCCUCGAAAGAGACCUGUAUUGUUAUUUUUCAUCACUCCCCGAGUCGGGAGUGUGUAAUUUGCGCGCCUGCUGCCUUCCUUGGAUGUGGUGGCCCUUCACUUGGAUUCUUAGAUACAGAGCCCAGGACAAAGACUUGCAGAGAAAAUUUAUUUGAAGUAAUAUAUCCAUAAUUUAGAAAUAUGUUAUUAGAUAUAUUUAAGGUAAAUGUGUACUAAUACAAAUACUGCUAUGACUAUAUGCCUUUAGUUAGAAUGGUUAAAUAUUAUUUUUCUAGGUCUCUUAAACAUAUCCUUCACGGUGUGUUAAGAGUUUAUAUAAAUUAUUUGACUUUUGAUAAAGUGUUUUAAAGAAAAAAGUGCACAAACAGAGAGCAUGAAGACAGCAUGUGUCUGUCUUCAUGCUCUCCACAUAUAAGACUGAUUUUAUUCUGGUCCACUAUGUGGAACGCCCACCUAUCUUGCACCAGAAUUCAUACUCCCCCGGAACCCAAAGACUCGUGGUUUUUGGGAAUAACACCACCGGAUUGAGGGGUCGGCAUCGUAUUCUUGGCAAAUGCUUUGGUCCGUCUUGCGCCGGUCCAAGAAUUUCACCUCGGCGCAAUAAGGCCACCAGAAAAUGUGAAAAAAAGUGUGGGAACAUCAAGAAACAGGUCUUCUCUUGGAUGAUGGUUCACCCUCUCCCUCUUGUGCCAUACGUUUCACGAUAAAUUAGUUGGAUUGUGGAGUUUAAUUAUAAUUGUAUUUAUUUAUCACACAUUAUACAAUUGCACAUAUACAGUGAAAUUCUUUUUUUACAUAUCCCAGCUAAGCUGGGGUCAGACUGCAGGGUCAGCCAUGAUAUGCCACCCCUGAAGCAGAUAGGGUCAACAGCCUUGCUCAAGGGGCCAACAGUGGCAUCUUGGCAGUGCUGGGGCUUGAAACCCUGACCUUCUGUUCAGCAACCCAGAGGCUUAACUGCUGAGCCAACAUUGCCCCAGUCUUUUAACACAGGACAAAGGCGGUGCAGUGACUGUAUGCGAAGAGAUCAUUAACGGCCACUAUCACUUCGUUCAUUCUUAGUGGAAGGUGGUUUCAAAUGAAGCCAAAGAUUUGAUCAAGAAGCUCUUAAAUGUGGAUCACCCAAAAAAAAAAAAACGAAAAAAACAUCAAGCAUCUGUGGUUAAAGGAUGGCGAGAUGAGAACUCAUGUGUAUAUAGUUUUGUAUUCAUGUUCCUUUUUUAUAUUUGUUUUGCAGUUGUGUUUUUAUAGUUAACAAGUUGUAUUGUUUGUUAAACAUGUUCUUUUGUUUUUAUUUUAUUAUAUUUUUUUUUGGCAGUUGUGUUUUACAAGGAUUGGCCGCAUGUUCAUCCCACCCUUGCAACUACUGUUGCACAUAUAGUUAAGCAAUAUGGUGGUUCCCACUGAACCCAGCUUUGGGGACUCGGCAGACAAAACAAAGUCAAGAAUCUGCUGUGUCCUGUUUCAUGCCAGCAGGAGGUGACCUCGACCAUCAGUGGGUCUUCACCCAUGGGUUUUUGGAUACGCUCCUUCCAAUUACAGGGCCUCGAAAGAGACCUGUAUUGUUAUUUUUUGUCACUCCCCGAGUCGGGAGUAAGUUACCAAUACCAAGUUGUGUUUAUAAAGUUUAUUAUUUUGGUUAAUCAAAGUCAUGUUCCUUGUUUUUAUUAUUUGUUUUUCAGUUAUGUUUUUAUAGUUAACAAGGUUUAUUUGUGUUAAUCAUGUUCUUUGAUUUUAAUUUUGUUUAGCAGUUAUAAAAAGGGAUAAUUUUCUAUCCGUUAAGUGGAACUUCAAUAAAUUGCCCUUGAAGGUC
Long non-coding RNA from Myxocyprinus asiaticus (Chinese sucker), 7572 nucleotides. RefSeq lists it as uncharacterized. The transcript is spliced from 6 exons. The record is from RefSeq and is a predicted model, not a curated record. NCBI's taxonomy places the organism in Eukaryota, Metazoa, Chordata, Actinopteri, Cypriniformes, Catostomidae.